This 245-nucleotide long non-coding RNA is filed under the name Lathyrus oleraceus (garden pea). RNAcentral describes it as "Pisum sativum (pea) long non-coding RNA (PSAT_LNC011320)". The record is from RNAcentral. Lineage: Eukaryota; Viridiplantae; Streptophyta; Magnoliopsida; Fabales; Fabaceae.
GAUGAUAAUGAUAAUAGAUAUGUGUUGCAUAUGAUGUUAAUGAUAAUUGAGAUGUGUUGCAUGUGAUGAUAAUGAUAAUAUAAAUAUGUUGCACAAGAUGUUAAUGAUAAUGUAUGAUGUUGAUGAUAGUCGAGAUAUUGUUGUGUUUGAUGUUGAUGAUGAAUUGAGUGUGAGAAUAUGAUAUGUUAUUGUGCAUGAUGGUGUAGAUAUUGUACUUUAUUCUUCAUGUUAUACCGUUUGUAAUU